This 159-nucleotide microRNA precursor is filed under the name Pelobates cultripes (western spadefoot toad). The record is from RNAcentral. Lineage: Eukaryota; Metazoa; Chordata; Amphibia; Anura; Pelobatidae.
GCUGACACAUCCCGGCCAAUUUCCGGCAGACCCUCCCUCCCAGACCCUCCUACUUCCUGGACAGCAUCCAUGUUGAAGGCAGCUUCAACAUGGAUGCUGUCCAGGAGGUGGGAGGGUCUGGGAGGGAGGGUCUGCCGGAGAUUGGCCGGAAUGUGUCAG